Molecule: long non-coding RNA, 1203 nt
Organism: Passer domesticus (house sparrow)
Lineage: Eukaryota; Metazoa; Chordata; Aves; Passeriformes; Passeridae
Exons: 3
Source: RefSeq, a predicted model, not a curated record
CAGAGGCAAAUCGGCCACUAAGACACCCAAGACCAGGAGACAAACCCAAGCCGUUUGGGAAGCCAGGAGUACCAGAAUAAGCGUUUGGGAAGGUGUACAGGGACAGCAGCAAUUUUCCCAGUUCAAUCAACCGAGCGGGAGUGAGCGCAAGGAGCAGGGAACGCCUGGAGUUGAGAAUUCAGCUCGUGGCAGAAGCAAAGUUGCACCUUCUAAACUCAAAUUUUCACGGUUUCUUGAUGCUAUUCAGUACUUAAAGAUGCAAAUAGGAAAAAUAGCAGGAGCCAUCUGUUCCAACCAGCCAUCGUUUAACUGGGUGCAUCUCUAAAAGUGGCACAGACCAGGUGUUACCAUUCCCCAACUCACUCCUCACAGACGGAUUUUUGCCCAUUAAGAAACCUUCUUCCACACCAGCAUUCAGAUGCAAAAGAUGGGAAUGCGAAUACAAUGCUUUUCCUCAUCGAAUACUUCCUGAAAAACUUGCCAGCAAGUUUAUCAGUGCCUCGCAUUUUAUGUGCUGUACACUGAAUAUUUUUUUAUUGAGCUGAAAGUGCUGCUGAUCUCCAAAGGGCAUCAUACUCGAAGAUGGAGCACUGACAGCAAAGAGGUAAAGGGUUUUUUAUAUGUUUUGCUUUUAAUUAAACCCUCAGAGCAGAGUAUGAGCCCACAGUUCUGAUAUACAUGCCAUAAUGAGAGCUAAAUAUUCCACUUGCAACAGUACAGGCUCAGUAAUCUAACACUGAUAAAUUACUUAAAUGAGAUAGUAACAGCUAUAAUGGACACGUAUUUUCCCAGCCCUUAAUGAAAUAACAUUCAUCUUCUGAAAGAAAAGAAAUACAACAGUGCUUUGCUUUCAAGGCCACUUUCUUUGCCCAUAAAAAUGUAUGUUUUCAUUCCAUUCAUUUAUUGGGAGUGAUGAAGGAAGACAGAUUAAAUCACAGAUCCUAAAGAAAUUUCAGUAUCUAAAUUCCUGGAUGAACAAUAGGGCCAAUUUUCUUAUUUCAAUAUCAAAACAAGAUUUUUUUAUCACUCAGUUUUUCCCAUUCAACCACAUACAGGCAUUUCAGAUCAGAUUCAUCUUGCUGUGUACCUUUGGUUGUAUGGAAUUUGUUCAUGAAUAGUUGAACUGAAAAGCCCAUAAUUCUAAACCAGCAGCUUUCACUAAACAAACAUCAUGUUCUCAUAACGUAGAGCAAGUUCUUCUCC